GUGCUACCUGGCAGGGGAGACACCAUGAUCAGGCAGGUGUUUUUCCCAGGGCGAGGCUCAUCCCCUGCACUCCGGGUGUGCUGACCCCUUCAAUUUCCCCAAAUGCAGGAAACUCGACUGCAUAAUUUGUGUUAGUGGGGGACUGCAUUCGCGUUCUCCUCUG
RNAcentral lists this small nuclear RNA (163 nucleotides) under Egretta garzetta (little egret). Its description in RNAcentral is "U1 spliceosomal RNA". It matches the Rfam family "U1 spliceosomal RNA". From Rfam's summary of the family: U1 is a small nuclear RNA (snRNA) component of the spliceosome (involved in pre-mRNA splicing). The record is from Rfam by way of RNAcentral. Lineage: Eukaryota; Metazoa; Chordata; Aves; Pelecaniformes; Ardeidae.